ACUGGGUGUGGUGGCGCACACCUGUAGUCCCAGCUACUUGGGAGGCUGAGGCACAAGAAUCGCUUGAACCCAGGAGGCAGAGGUGGCAGUGAGAAGAAAUUGUGCCACUGAAUACCAGCCUGGGUGACAAAGCGAGAUUCUGUCUCUA
Molecule: unclassified non-coding RNA, 148 nt
Organism: Macaca fascicularis (crab-eating macaque)
Lineage: Eukaryota; Metazoa; Chordata; Mammalia; Primates; Cercopithecidae
Rfam family: Metazoan signal recognition particle RNA
About the family: The signal recognition particle (SRP) is a universally conserved ribonucleoprotein. It is involved in the co-translational targeting of proteins to membranes. The eukaryotic SRP consists of a 300-nucleotide 7S RNA and six proteins: SRPs 72, 68, 54, 19, 14, and 9.
Source: Ensembl